Molecule: long non-coding RNA, 923 nt
Organism: Hypanus sabinus (Atlantic stingray)
Lineage: Eukaryota; Metazoa; Chordata; Chondrichthyes; Myliobatiformes; Dasyatidae
Exons: 4
Source: RefSeq, a predicted model, not a curated record
GUAUUGGGCAAUUAUUGUGAUACUUUUAAAGGAAUGAACAAUAUUGCCCAGAGGCUAUGGUGGAACACACCCGGAAGUCUCGCACAAGAGCACAAAUUGAAACUGCUCUAAAUCUGCGAUCUAAACCUGAAGCGAUCUUGUGCAGCAUCUGUGGAGAAAGGAGGAGCAGUUGACGUUGUGAGCUGUCCAUGUUAGCAACAAGGUUCUGCACAUCAUCUCCCUGAUGCAAGGCGUAGUGGAGCUGAAAGAGAUGACACCUUCUGUGACAGAUUGCCCCAUCACAAGUCCCAGUACAUAGAAAGGCGUUUGGUGAAUUAGAAGCCUGACACAUUCUGAAACCUUGCGGGCACACAGUAAUAACGUCUGCCUGAAUUCAGCUUUAAUUGCGUGAGCUAAACAUCUGAUCAAUUAAUGGAGGUGGAGGUACUGGACAAAGUCAGCACUGGAACUUGAAGCCACAGCCUUCAGAAAGGCCAACACCCAGCUGCAACCGCUGUUCGAUAUUGCUGCAUGUGUUAGCCUAGUUCUUGACAUUUUACCAAUUCUCUUCCACAAUACCAGUGGUGGGAAAAAAAAAGAUUAACAUUUUACUGAUUCAAGUCAUAGACACAGUGGUGACAGCCAUGGGCAAAGUUAUCAGAAACUUGGUGAAUUAGGAACUUCUGCUUUCUCAGGUAUUUAAUUCAAUAUAUUCUCUCGUCACCAAGAAAGAGAAAGAUGGAAAGCACCCCAAUGUUGACUAUUUAAAAGAAAGAAUGAUUAUUUCAAAUACUGGCACAAACUGUUUAACAUUUUGAUAAGAGAAACUAAAGAGGGAGCAGAACAUAAUAUCUCUGUAAGUCAAUGUACAUUGCCUACCUUGGGAUUUCUUGCAUACUUCCCAGUCCUGGCAUCCUUGACGAGACUGAUUUCCAGCAGGUCUG